RNAcentral lists this ribosomal RNA (253 nucleotides) under uncultured bacterium. RNAcentral describes it as "partial 16S ribosomal RNA". It matches the Rfam family "Bacterial small subunit ribosomal RNA", at positions 524 to 776 of the family's 1533-position model. The record is from RNAcentral.
UACAGAGGGUGCGAACGUUGCUCGGAAUUACUGGGCGUAAAGCGCGUGUAGGCGGGCGCUCAAGUCAGGUGUGAAAUCCCCAGGCUCAACCUGGGAACUGCACUUGAAACUGGGCGCCUUGAGUGCUGGAGAGGGAAGCGGAAUUCCUGGUGUAGAGGUGAAAUUCGUAGAUAUCAGGAGGAACACCGGUGGCGAAGGCGGCUUCCUGGACAGUUACUGACGCUGAGACGCGAAAGCGUGGGGAGCAAACAGG